RNAcentral lists this unclassified non-coding RNA (147 nucleotides) under uncultured Ascomycota. RNAcentral describes it as "sequence contains ITS2". The record is from RNAcentral. Lineage: Eukaryota; Fungi; Ascomycota.
CAGCCCUCAAGCACUCUGCUUGGAGUUGAGCGCCGCCGGCUCACGGCGGGCUCUAAAAUCAGUGGCGGUGUCGGACGGCCCCGAGCGCAGUAGAUCUCUCUCGCUUUAGGGGUACGGACGGAGCCUGCCAGAAGCGAUUAUGCCACA